Molecule: unclassified non-coding RNA, 354 nt
Filed under: uncultured fungus
Lineage: Eukaryota; Fungi
Description: partial contains small subunit ribosomal RNA, internal transcribed spacer 1, and 5.8S ribosomal RNA
Rfam family: Eukaryotic small subunit ribosomal RNA (bases 1-73)
Source: RNAcentral
GCAAACUUGGUCAUUUAGAGGAAGUAAAAGUCGUAACAAGGUUUCCGUAGGUGAACCUGCGGAAGGAUCAUUGCCAAUGUGGCUGUGGGAGCUCGCCGCUUCGGCGGAGGGCGACCACAGCUUUACACAUCAACAAAAAGCCCUUUGUGAACCUGGCUGUGAGAGACCUGAAGGUCCCUCUCUGGGCGGGGCCGCACUCCCUCGUGGAGUGGACGCGCCUCUCACAGCCCCCCCAAACAAACCCCCUUUUUUAUAUGCCUUCUUUCAAAGACUGAAGACUUAAAAAAAAAACAAAACAUUCUUACAACUUUUAACAAUGGAUAUCUUGGCUCGCGCAUCGAUGAAGAACGCAGC